Corapipo altera (White-ruffed manakin) is the source of this 351-nucleotide long non-coding RNA. RefSeq lists it as uncharacterized. The transcript has 4 exons. The record is from RefSeq and is a predicted model, not a curated record. NCBI's taxonomy places the organism in Eukaryota, Metazoa, Chordata, Aves, Passeriformes, Pipridae.
GUUGUGGGUGGAACGGCAGAGCUGCUGCUGUGAGGAAAGUCUAGUAUGUGUUUUGAUACCACUGCUCACUUUCAAUAAAUGCACAAAUAAGGUUUGGAUUAUUCUGCAAUUUAUUCAGUUCAGUGAAAGCUACUCCCUAACAUUUGCACAGGGCCUACGAGAAGGAGCAGCUCACACUGUUCAACAGUGAUCACUUUGGAAGCUGGUUGAGAGGCCAUCACCAACCCCAUCUCCUGAGAGGAGUGUGAAUCAUGAAUUGAGUGGAUACUCGAGCAACCAGGAUCCAGCGGAUGGAGCUUGUGCCCACCAAGUCAAAGAGGAGCAGAGCAGAGCAGAGCAGAGCAGAGCAGA